Molecule: ribosomal RNA, 422 nt
Filed under: Canariella hispidula
Lineage: Eukaryota; Metazoa; Mollusca; Gastropoda; Stylommatophora; Canariellidae
Description: partial 16S ribosomal RNA
Rfam family: Bacterial large subunit ribosomal RNA
Source: RNAcentral
CCCUGCUCAAUGACAAUGUUAAAUAGCCGCAGUACCCUGACUGUGCAAAGGUAGCAUAAUCAGUUGGCUUAUAAUUGAAGUCUGGCAUGAAUGGGGUAAUGGAUAGUGGCUGUCUCUAAAUAAUAAAGGAACUUACUUAGCAAGUGCAAAUGCUUGCAGAUAAAUAAUAGACGAGAAGACCCUAGAAAUUUUUUAUAUAUGUAUCAUAUAUACACUCUAUUUUGCUGGGGCGGCAGAGUAACAUUAAACUUGCUUUAUUAUUAUUAGAAUUAUAUAAGUAAAAUUAAAUUACUCUAGGGAUAACAGCGUAAUUCUGCAGAGUUUGCGACCUCGAUGUUGGACUAAGGACACACGCGCUUAGAAGGCACUUGUUUUGGCUCUGUUCGAGCUUCUAUCCUUACGUGAUCUGAGUUCAGACCGGA